RNAcentral lists this transfer RNA (66 nucleotides) under Pyura gangelion. RNAcentral describes it as "transfer RNA-Leu(UUR)". The record is from RNAcentral. Lineage: Eukaryota; Metazoa; Chordata; Ascidiacea; Stolidobranchia; Pyuridae.
GCUAAUGUGGCGGAGAAAACGCGAGAGUCCUAAGUUCUCUUUACGUACCAUUAGGUGCCGUUAGUU